UUAUGUAAUUGAUUAUUGAUUGGUUUUUUGGAGAAGGAAUUUUUUGUUUUUGUAAUUUUUGAUAGGAUAGUUGUUGUUAUAGUUGAUUUGUAUUGUGAUAGAAGUAUUUAUAUGGUAAGAAGAAUACUUUAUUUGUUGUACCUUUUGUAUCAGGGUUUAUUAAAAUUAGUUUUUGAUCAAGAUUUUCUCGAAUUUUGGAGGGCUAAGAAUUAAUAUAUUUUAAUGUAGAAGAAUUAUUUAUAAUUGGUUUUUAGUUAUUAUACGUUAGUCGUUCUUUAUUAUAUCUGGUUUCCUAAGAAAUUAAUUUAAUUAACUGGAGCGGAAAUAUUUUUAUUUGGGAAAAAAAUUUUUGUGUUUGGAAUAUUUAAAGGGAAAAGCUUUUAGGUAUAUUCUUAUAAUGAUGAUGUGGCUAGGAUUGAGGUAGGAUUAGAAGUUUUCAUCUGUAGUGUGUUUUUACUAGGUUUUUAGAAUGAUCAAUUUUUUUUUGUUUAAGUGUUUUAUUAGGAUAAGGGCUUUAAUUUUUGGGUUCUGAGAUAAUGAUGGAAUUAGUAGAAUAAAAUGUAUUGUAAUAAUACGUGGUUUUAUAUUAUUUUAAGGAAUUAGGCAAAUUUCUUUCCGCCUGUUUAAUAAAAACAUGGCUUCUUGAUAUAAAUAUGAGGUCAGGCCUGCCCGAUGAUAAUUUGAAUGGCUGCGGUAUACUGACCGUGCAAAGGUAGCAUAAUCAUUAGUUUUUUUAUUGAAAGCUGGAAUGAAGGGUUUAACGAGAAAGAUGCUGUCUUAAUUUGAUUAUUUGAAUUUUAUGUUUGAGUGAGAAAGCUUAAAUGGGUUUGAGGGACGAGAAGACCCUAUAGAAUUUAAUAGUUUAGGUGUUCUGGGUUUUUGGUUUAUGAUGGCUAGGAUGUGCGAGGAUUAUUUUGUUGGGGUGAUAGGAAAAUUUAAUUAACUUUUUUUUGUUUUUUAUCAUUAAUAAAUGAAUUUUUGAUCCAUUAGAAAUGAUUAUAAGAGUAAAUUACCUUAGGGAUAACAGCGUAAUUAAUCUGGAGAGUUCUAAUCGAUAGAUUAGUUUGCGACCUCGAUGUUGGAUUAAAAUUGGCUUUUGGUGAAGGGACUGAGGAGCUAAGUCUGUUCGACUUUUAAAAUUUUACAUGAUCUGAGUUUAAACCGGCGUGAGCCAGGUUGGUUUCUAUCUUCAUAGAUAUAAGAUUUUUUAGUACGAAAGGACCAGGAAUUUUCUAAAUUAGGUUUUUGUUGAUUAAAAUU
Molecule: ribosomal RNA, 1260 nt
Filed under: Lucanus chengyuani
Lineage: Eukaryota; Metazoa; Arthropoda; Insecta; Coleoptera; Lucanidae
Description: 16S ribosomal RNA
Rfam family: Bacterial large subunit ribosomal RNA (bases 830-1191)
Source: RNAcentral